GCAUGGGUUUGGAUUUAUGACAGGCCUGUCCCCCUGGGCCUCUCAUAAUACCCUAUGCCAGAGCAGACUGUCCUCGAACCAUUGCCCGGCCUCUGUUCCGUAGGCUGCUGGCACUGAAGCGGGUUGCAUGGGG
This is a small nucleolar RNA of Carlito syrichta (Philippine tarsier), 133 nucleotides long. The record is from Ensembl. NCBI's taxonomy places the organism in Eukaryota, Metazoa, Chordata, Mammalia, Primates, Tarsiidae.